ACGCACGCUGGCGGCAUGCCUAACACAUGCAAGCCGCACGCGACCUUCGGGUCUAGUGGCGCACGGGUGCGUAACGCGUGGGAACCUGCCCUUAGGUUCGGAAUAACUCCCCGAAAGGGGUGCUAAUACCGGAUAAUGUCUUCGGACCAAAGAUUUAUCGCCUUUGGAUGGGCCCGCGUUGGAUUAGCUAGUUGGUAGGGUAAAAGCCUACCAAGGCGACGAUCCAUAGCUGGUCUGAGAGGAUGAUCAGCCACACUGGGACUGAGACACGGCCCAGACUCCUACGGGAGGCAGCAGUGGGGAAUAUUGGACAAUGGGCGAAAGCCUGAUCCAGCAAUGCCGCGUGAGUGAUGAAGGCCUUAGGGUUGUAAAGCUCUUUUACCCGGGAUGAUAAUGACAGUACCGGGAGAAUAAGCUCCGGCUAACUCCGUG
RNAcentral lists this ribosomal RNA (432 nucleotides) under uncultured bacterium. RNAcentral's name for it is "partial 16S ribosomal RNA". It matches the Rfam family "Bacterial small subunit ribosomal RNA", at positions 29 to 507 of the family's 1533-position model. The record is from RNAcentral.